RNAcentral lists this small nucleolar RNA (261 nucleotides) under Chinchilla lanigera (long-tailed chinchilla). Its description in RNAcentral is "Small nucleolar RNA SNORA53 (ENSCLAG00000018344.1)". It matches the Rfam family "Small nucleolar RNA SNORA53", at positions 62 to 248 of the family's 248-position model. From Rfam's summary of the family: The snoRNA ACA53 belongs to the H/ACA family of pseudouridylation guide snoRNAs. The record is from Rfam by way of RNAcentral. Lineage: Eukaryota; Metazoa; Chordata; Mammalia; Rodentia; Chinchillidae.
CGCCUGCCUGGCAAGCGCAAGGUCGUGAGUUCGGUUCCUGGUACCGGAGAAAAACCAAAAAAAAAAAAAAAAAGAGAUUGUUUCUUGUAGUUCCAGUCAAAGAAACGUCCAGCAACUUUUUUGGUUGUACAGUCGAAGGUGCUUGAGUCAUUGGCAUGUGAGAGAAAUAUACCUGCAUGUUAGUCUAAGGUUCUGAUAGAAAUGACAUGCAAGUAUGCUGUCAUUUUUUCACUAUCAGGAUUCGACUGGUGUGCGGACACU